CUUCUCACGUUUGCAGACGACACCACCUUGCUCGGACUCACUGCAGAUGAGUCCACCCUGGAGUUCCUCCUCUUACCAGGAGUCCAACCUGGAGAUGACCUGGAUCAUCAUCCCAAACCCCGGUUUUGAUGUCACAUGGGUGUUUUGGUUAAAGUCCCGGGGGCAGCACUCAGAGCAAAGAAGUCCUCACUUUCCCAGAAAUCUACGUCUGGAGAAAUAGCGAGGACUGCUGAAACCACCGACAGUUGGAGUUGAACCUUGGCAGCUGCAAGAGAUGUCCCUGCUCUAUUGACCAGUCAGCUUACAGCGACGUCCCAGACCCCUUCAGCCUGGAGGAGUUCCUGAGCUUCAGGGCUCUGAAGAACUGAGCUAUCCACCCGGCUGGGAUGUGCAAAAGCUCCUGGCUCAGCUCUUUCUUCUCCAUGCUUCAUUUGUACACGUGUAUUGAGUCGAGGACCGCGGCUCUUUCAGGCUAACUGAAGCACUUUCCAUGAAAAAAUCUUUCUUUAAUUUCUUCCAUCUCUAAUUUAGUCAUCUUUAAUCUGCAGAACAGUUUUGCUGCCCGACUCACUUCCUGUUUUAUCUAAACUUCUGCAGCCAGAUGAUGGUGAUUCCGACAGGCCUGAGGGCUCAGAUCAGACGCUGAUGAUCAGAUAGUGGGAGAUGAAUUUGACUUGUUGAGUUGCAACGGAAGAUUCAAAGUUUCACAGCGGCGCCUGAGGUCACGACCCCUGACCAACACCGAGACUGAUUCCUGUUCAUCCAAACUCUGGAGGGAGAAAACAGCGACUCAAAAAGCUCAUUAAUGCUUUCCUCUCGCGCCGUUUCUUCUGCUGU
Molecule: long non-coding RNA, 837 nt
Organism: Synchiropus splendidus (mandarinfish)
Lineage: Eukaryota; Metazoa; Chordata; Actinopteri; Syngnathiformes; Callionymidae
Exons: 3
Source: RefSeq, a predicted model, not a curated record